UUUCCGUAGGUGAACCUGCGGAAGGAUCAUUAAAGUUAUAGUCCCCCGGCCCCUCCGGGCUGGGGUCUUCUAUACCACCCUUUGUUUAUUACACCUUUGUUGCUUUGGCGAGCGCAAGCUCGCCAGAGAAUACCAAAACUCUUUUUAUUAAUGUCGUCUGAGUACUAUAUAAUAGUUAAAACUUUCAACAACGGAUCUCUUGGUUCUG
RNAcentral lists this unclassified non-coding RNA (208 nucleotides) under plant metagenome. RNAcentral's name for it is "partial contains small subunit ribosomal RNA, internal transcribed spacer 1, and 5.8S ribosomal RNA". The record is from RNAcentral.